AUUUUUUUUUUUUUUUUUGUGCUGAAAUAUUUGAAAACAGUUGAAGCUUUUUACUGACUUUGCCCCUUCAUUUUGCUCAUCCGUUUUUUUUUUGUUUUUUUUCCAUUGACAUCAGUGUUCAUGUCCAGCUUGAGGGACUGUUUCAGAUGAUUUUGAUUUAAUUUAUACACUAUAGUAAUUUUAUAAGAUAUAUAUAUAUAGCCGUAAAUAACAAUAUACAUCAAAGAAGUAACUGUGCCAUUUGUUUUGUUAGUGCCCUGCAUAUACUUUUCAGCAAGCUUAUUGUAUGGUUCAAUCCAGUAUCUUUUUUUUUCAGUUGUUAAAGGUGUAGAUAUCUCAAGUUAUUUAUGAUAUAUCUUAGUUUUCAUUUAAUUUAACCAUUGCUUAGGUUUUUCCAUGAAUGAUCCAGGAGCUGUUCAUUCUAAUAGAUGACCAAGUUGCCAGGGAAUCUUAUGCCAAUGUACAUAUGUAUACGACGUCUGAUCAUUAGAUGUACUUAGUCAUUGUAGCUUUGUAAUAACCAAUGCAUAAACAAACAUGAAACAGUAUGGCCCAUUUGGAUUCACAGAAUAUGCUAAUGGGCAGUGUCUUCCUCAUUGGCAUCUUUUUUUUUUUCCUGUUCUUUUCAAAACCUAGUCUUGUUUUGUGGUUUGUUUUUUUGGUGAGAUUUUAGUUUUAAAUUUAACUUUUUUUUUUUAAAUUAGAUUUCCCCUCCCCCUUAAUCUUUUUACUUUUCUAUGUAUUUAUAGUCUUUCAUUGAGACUCCUCCUCCAAGCUAUGUCCUUCUGUCUCUCUUUGGUGGAGGGUAGGAUGCUUUGGCAUUAUUGCAGCUGGUGAAUGAAAAUGGACUUGAUACCUAUACAUAGGAUUCAUUGGUUUUGUGUGGAUGGAAGGCAGUGUGUGAUCCUGAUGUGAUAACUGGGGUGGGGGUGGGACUAAAAACCUCUUGUUUUGUUGUUGCCGAUGUAUUCCCAAGUGGUUGUCCAUUGUAAAUAUUAAUGUCUCAUAUUUCUUUGACACCUCCCCCCUCAGUUUUUUUUUUCCUUUUUUGUGGUUUGAAAGCCGCUGAAAUCUGAUGAGUGUUGCUGAUAGGAUCUUUCUUUUGUUCAGCGUCUGUUGAAGAUCACUUGUGAAAUACUCUUGUAUUUAUUGGUCUUAUCAAUAGAUAGAUAUCAUUCCUAUCAUCUCUCUGUAAGAGAAUGCAUGUCUUGUGUUUAUCUGUGUUGCAUCAUUCUGAAAUCAUUUAAAAGUAAAUUUGAUGUAAGUAAUUAUUUCAUUGACUAAUAAAUUUAUUAAAAAUCUCUGAGAUUAAAUUUGAAGCAGAUAUAAUUUUAAAUGUAGAUCUCAUUAAAAAAAAUGUUUAUUCAUUGUCUCAAUAAGGUUGCCAACUGUUUAGUUUUGUUUUAUCUUAGCUAUAAAGUAAAUAAAUUACUGAAUAACAUCUAUGGUCAUUUUUCAAAAGUUAAAAUUAUAAAUGUGCUCUUUUUUUUUCCCCCAUUCAGGUGAUUGUAAUUGCUUAAUCUUGCACCAAAUUGUAGUGGCUUGCUAAAUAUACAGGUUUCUUUCUAAAGUUGUAUCACACAUGACAGUGAUUGGGAAAAGUCACAUUAUUAUCUUUCUUUUUCCCCCUCAUCUUAUCACACAUCCACUUGCUUAUACAAAAAAUGCCAAAAAAAAAACCCAACUAAAACUGCAUGCCAUGUUUACUUGUAGUGACUCAGUAUCUAUUGUGUUAAUGGACCAUGUAAUUUUGUUGAACAAAGUCUCUGAAUGAAGGUUCUUUGUGAAGUGUCAUUUCAAACCUUUCGUUUUGGUUCUGUCUGAUGAGUGUAAAGUGCAAGCUGGGUUUUUCUCUCCUACUUGUGAUUAGAAUGUUGGUAAAAAAAAAUAAAUUGUAAAUUAUUUUUGUUUUGUUUUUAUGUAUAAUAUUUUUUAAUUUGACGACUGGUUGACAAUAAUGUAAGAUACUGAGUGAUGAGUAACGCUAUAUAAAUAUAUAUAUACAUAUAAAUAAAUUGAAUGCAUGUGCAUACUUAGUAUCCAGGAAUGUGUGAAAAAGUUGUUUUUUUUUCUCUAGUUACAAUAAACCUUGUUACAAUAAAUUUUAUAGGACAAAGGUUUGAUUUUUCUAAUUAUUCAAAGAUGGAUAACUAUGUAGCUAAACUUAAGAAGUUAAAGAUGAAUCAGAAAGGUGGAACUUUAAGGUGCACUGUGUAAAAAGUGAUAUAAAGUUUGCUAGAACAGGGAUUCACUGUAUUUUUAUUCAUAUUUGUAUAUUGUCCUGAUGCUGUUCUGUGCUAUUGAUUGAUCUAUUUAGUCAUUUGUGCUUAACUCUGUUAUAGCCAAGACUUGUAAUGUCUGCAAUACAGAUCAUUUCAGAAUCCAUUUGAAAGGAUGGUGGGGGCUGCUGUUGACUUUUGUAUUAUCACAUCAUUUCCAGGACAGUUUUUUUGUCUCUUGAUCUAGAAAUUUAAUUUACCAUUUAAAUAAAAGAUAGAAGAAAUAAUUGUUAAACCACACAAUUUGAGUCAAUUAGAAUUAAUUUUGGUGGUUGGGGUGGGUCAAGAUAUUUACAUAAUAAACAAUGUAAAGAAAAUGAGUGGAUUUUAAAUGUCAUUUUAGCAAAUAUUGCACCUCUCUGUGUAUUAAUUUCUUAUGAUAUUGAUAUGUUUUUGUUACAAUGUUCGCUUUUUGUAGGCUGAAUGAUUUGUGGAAAAAAAAACAACUUUCUUUUGUGGUUGCUUUUUUUUUUUUUUUUGGUCCUGGAUCAAAGAAAC
Biomphalaria pfeifferi is the source of this 2777-nucleotide non-coding RNA. NCBI's taxonomy places the organism in Eukaryota, Metazoa, Mollusca, Gastropoda, Planorbidae. The record is from the annotation of a GenBank genome assembly.